This 376-nucleotide ribosomal RNA is filed under the name Porolithon onkodes. Its description in RNAcentral is "bacterial LSU rRNA". It matches the Rfam family "Bacterial large subunit ribosomal RNA", at positions 2094 to 2465 of the family's 2925-position model. The record is from RNAcentral. Lineage: Eukaryota; Rhodophyta; Florideophyceae; Corallinales; Porolithaceae.
UAUGAAGCUUUACUGUAGCUUAGAAUUGAAUUUGAGCUUUUCUUGCGCAGGAUAAGUGGGAGGCUAUGAUAGUAUUUUUGUGGAAAUACUGGAGCCAAUGGUGAGAUACCACUCUAGAAAAGCUAGAAUUCUAACUUUGCAAGCCGUUAACCGGCCAAAGAACAGUUCUAGGUGGGCAGUUUGACUGGGGCGGUCGCCUCCUAAAAGGUAACGGAGGCGUGCAAAGGUUUUCUCAGGCUGGUCGGAAAUCAGCUGUAGAGUAUAAAGGCUAAAGAAAGCUUGACUGCAAGACUUACAAGUCGAGCAGAGACGAAAGUCGGCCUUAGUGAUCCGGCGGUACUGAGUGGAAAGGCCGUCGCUCAACGGAUAAAAGUUA